UGAAUACGAGAUGCUACGGCGUCGAAGCAGUCUAUGUCAUACUUCCAAGAAAAGCUUGCACUGUCAUAAACAAAUAAUGCCUGUACCAUAACCGACACAGGUGGGUAGGUAGAGUAUACUAAGGGGCGCGAGAUAACUCUCUCUAAGGAACUCGGCAAAAUAACUCCGUAACUUCGGGAGAAGGAGUGCCUUAUUUAUAAGGUUGCAAUAACAAGAUCCAAGCAACUGUUUACCAAAAACACAGGUCUCCGCGAAGUCGUAAGACGAUGUAUGGGGGCUGACGCCUGCCCAGUGCCAGAAGGUUAAAGAAGUUGGUUAGCAUUCGCGAAGCUGAUAACUGAAGCCCUGGUGAACGGCGGCCGUAACAAUAACGGUCCUAAGGUAGCGAAAUUCCUUGCCGGGUAAGUUCCGACCCGCACGAAAGGCGUAAUGAUUUGGAUACUGUCUCGGAGAGGGGCUCGGUGAAAUAGACUUGUCUGUGAAGAUGCGAACUACCUGCACCUGGACAGAAAGACCCUAUGAAGCUUUACUGUAACUUGAAAUUGAAAUUGGACUUUAUUUGCGCAGUAUAGGUGGGAGGCAUUGAAAAUAUUCUUGCGGGAUUAUUGGAGCCAUCAGUGAGAUACCACUCUUGUAAUGUUAGAUUUCUAACUUUGUAUCAUUAUCUGGUCAAAGAACAGUUUCAGGCGGGCAGUUUGACUGGGGCGGUCGCCUCCCAAACGGUAACGGAGGCGCACAAAGGUUUCCUCUGAACGGGUAGAAAUCGUAUCUAGAGUGUAAAGGCAUAAGGAAGCUUGACUGUGAGACCUACAAGUCGAGCAGGGACGAAAGUCGGUCUUAGUGAUCUGACGGUGCUGAGUGGAAAGGCCGUCACUCAACGGAUAAAAGUUACUCUAAGGAUAACAGGCUGAUCUCCCCCAAGAGUUCACAUCGACGGGGAGGUUUGGCACCUCGAUGUCGGCUCAUCGCAUCCUGGGGCGGUAGUACGUCCCAAGGGUUGGGCUGUUCGCCCAUGAAAGCGGUACGCGAGCUGGGUUCAGAACGUCGUGAGACAGUUCGGUCCAUAUCCGGUGUAGGCGUUAGAAUAUUGAGAGGAGCCUUCUCUAGUACGAGAGGACCGAGAAGGACAUACCUCUGGUGUACCAGUUAUCGUGCCAACGGUAAACGCUGGGUAGCUAUGUAUGGAGAGGAUAACCGCUGAAAGCAUCUAAGUGGGAAGCCCACCUCAAGAUAAGUAUUCUCAUCACGUAAGUGAAUAAGGUCACGGUAAGACUAACCGUUCGAUAGGCAUUAAGUGUAAAUCUAGUAAUAGGUGAGCUGAGAUGUACUAACAGACCGAAGACC
This 1344-nucleotide ribosomal RNA is filed under the name metagenome. Its description in RNAcentral is "bacterial LSU rRNA". It matches the Rfam family "Bacterial large subunit ribosomal RNA", at positions 1564 to 2925 of the family's 2925-position model. The record is from RNAcentral.